CGCGGCCUAUCAGCUUGUUGGUGGGGUAAUGGCCUACCAAGGCUUCGACGGGUAGUCGGCCUGAGAGGGUGACCGGCCACACUGGGACUGAGACACGGCCCAGACUCCUACGGGAGGCAGCAGUGGGGAAUAUUGGACAAUGGGCGGAAGCCUGAUCCAGCAACGCCGCGUGAGGGAUGACGGCCUUCGGGUUGUAAACCUCUUUCAGUACCGACGAAGCGUAAGUGACGGUAGGUACAGAAGAAGCACCGGCCAACUACGUGCCAGCAGCCGCGGUAAUACGUAGGGUGCGUGCGUUGUCCGGAAUUAUUGGGCGUAAAGGGCUCGUAGGCGGUUUGUCGCGUCGGGAGUGAAAACACCGGGCUUAACUCGGUGCUUGCUUUCGAUACGGGCAGACUUGAGGCAUGCAGGGGAGAACGGAAUUCCUGGUGUAGCGGUGAAAUGCGCAGAUAUCAGGAGGAACACCGGUGGCGAAGGCGGUUCUCUGGGCAUGUCCUGACGCUGAGGAGCGAAAGUGUGGGGAGCGAACAGGAUUAGAUACCCUGGUAGUCCACACCGUAAACGUUGGGCGCUAGGUGUGGGGCCUAUUCCAUGGGUUCCGUGCCGCAGCUAACGCAUUAAGCGCCCCGCCUGGGGAGUACGG
Molecule: ribosomal RNA, 643 nt
Filed under: uncultured Actinomycetes bacterium
Lineage: Bacteria; Bacillati; Actinomycetota; Actinomycetes
Description: bacterial SSU rRNA
Rfam family: Bacterial small subunit ribosomal RNA
Source: RNAcentral